RNAcentral lists this long non-coding RNA (9008 nucleotides) under Ananas comosus (pineapple). RNAcentral describes it as "long non-coding RNA (ACOM_LNC020471)". Lineage: Eukaryota; Viridiplantae; Streptophyta; Magnoliopsida; Poales; Bromeliaceae. The record is from RNAcentral.
AAAAGCAGAAGAUCGUCCGGAUAUAGUAAGCAGGGUUUUCAAGAUGAAAGUUAACGCAUUAAUGGCAGAUAUUAAAAAAGGAAACUAUUUUGGGAGAACUAUAGCUGGUACACUUCUAUUUUAUAUAUUUUUUGUUCUUUACUAAAAAAAUUCCUUCUUUAUUUGCUUCUUACCGUUCUUCUUUUUUUCACCAUGUAGAUUUGUAUACAAUUGAAUUUCAAAAAAGAGGUCUCCCUCAUGUGCAUAUCUUAGUUUGGUUACAUCCAGAUCAUAAGUUGCCAACAACUACGGACAUAGAUUCAAUUAUUUUUGCCGAAAUACCAGAUAAAGAUAUUGAUCCAAUUGGAUAUGCCACUGUUUCAAAAUUUAUGAUACAUGGACCGUGUGGCUCUGCAAAUUCUAAAGCACCGUGUAUGGUUAAAGGUCGAUGCUCAAAACAUUUUCCAAAAGAAUUCAGAAAUGAAACAACUGUGGAUGAUAGCGGAUUCGCUAUUUAUAGAAGAAGAAACAAUGAAAGGUUCGUCACAAAAAAGGGCAUUAAUCUUGACAACAGAUAUGUUGUGCCGCACAACUUGACGUUAGUAGUUAAAUAUCAAGCUCAUAUUAAUGUUGAGUGGUGCAACAAAUCAAGAUUAAUAAAAUAUUUAUUUAAGUACAUCAAUAAGGGUUCAGAUAGAACAAGGGCUGUAAUAGAGGACAACUAUUUGUGCAACAAUGGUUGUCGUGAUGUACAAUAUAAGCAGAUUGACGAGAUUAAAAGAUACUUGGAUUGUAGAUAUUUAUCGGCGUAUGAAGCUGUUUGGAGAUUAUAUCAAUUUGAUAUACACUCUAGAGAACCUACAGUUGAACGAUUGACUUUACAUUUGCCGCUGAUGAAUAAUGUGACAUAUCAUGAAAGUCAAAACUUAGUUGAUGUUCUAGAUCGAUGCAAUGUCGAGAAAACAAUGUUUACUGAGUGGAUGGAAACAAAUGCAAAUUAUGAUGAUGCCCGCGAACUAACUUACGCAGAAUUUCCAACAAAAUGGGUUUGGCAUUCAACUGACAAAAUAUGGACAAGACGUAAAAAAGGAAAUCGAAUUGGAAGAAUUAUUUAUAUUCAUCCAAAUGCCGGUGAGCUUUAUUUUUUAAGAAUGCUACUGAAUAAGGUUAAAGGGCCGAGAAAUUAUAUUGAAAUUAGAACUGUUGACAAUAUUGUGUAUGAAACAUACCGCGCUGCAUGUGAUGCACUUGGAUUGCUGGGUAAUGACAUAGAAUGGCGCGAAGCAAUAGAGGAAGCAUCUCAUUGGUCUUCUCCUGCUGAUUUGAGACAACUUUUUGUUACUUUGGUUAUGUUUUGUGAGGUAGCUGAUCCUGUAAAAUUGUGGAAUGAUUUUUGGAAACUCUUUGCGGACGAUAUUUUAUAUAGAUUAAAGGAAGUAUUGGAAGUUCGUGAACUGCGAAUACCAGAAUUACAGUUACAAAAUUACAUUUUAUUUGAGCUAGAAGUGUUGUUCAAUAAAAGUUGCAGCUCCCUCUCUCAGUUCAAUCUACCAAUUCUUGAUAGAUUGAUUUUGGAAGAUAUGAGUAACAAGUUGUUGAGAGAAGAAUUAGAUUAUGAUGCGGAUGCUUUAAAAUGUGAACAUACAAGGUUAUUUAGCGAAUUGAAUGAUGAGCAGAAGAGUAUAUAUAACUAUGUUUUGACUUCUAUUUAUGAAGAUANUUCAAUCUACCAAUUCCUGAUAGAUUGAUUUUGGAAGAUAUGAGUAACAAGUUGUUGAGAGAAGAAUUAGAUUAUGAUGCAGUACAAGGUUAUUUAGCGAAUUGAAUGAUGAGCAGAAGAGUAUAUAUAACUAUGUUUUGACUUCCAUUUAUGAAGAUAAAGGAGAUGCGAUUUUCGUAUAUGGUUAUGGUGGAACAGGAAAAACUUAUUUAUGGCAGACAAAAUCUCAAAACUUCGUUCAGAAGGGAAAAUAGUUUUGGCUGUUGCAUCAUCUGGAAUUGCUUCGUUUCUACUUCCUGGUGGGAGAACGGCUCAUUCUAGAUUCAAGAUACCUAUAAAAGUAGAUGAGUUCUCAACAUGUGAAAUUAAAAAAGGAACUCAACUCGCAAAAUUACUUGAUCGCACUAGCUUAAUUAUAUGGGAUGAAGCACCGAUGAACCAUAGAAAUUGUUUUGAAGCUUUAGAUAAAUCAUUAAGAGAUAUUUUACAAACAGAUACUGGAGAUGUUCAACAAAAGUUAUUUGGCGGCAAAACUAUUGUAUUCGGAGGGGAUUUUCGUCAAAUACUUCCUGUUAUUAUUGGCGGCACGAGACAGGAUAUAGUUAAUGCAGCAAUCACUAGGUCAUAUAUUUGGGAUAGUUGUAGAGUCUUUCAACUAUCAACAAAUAUGAGAUUGCUUAAAUGCUCAGAGAAUGAGAUGUCAAAAAAGGAAUUGGCGGACUUCGCAAAAUGGAUUCUAGAUUUGGGUAAUGGAAAAUUAGAUGCCAUCAAAUUAGACAAUGAAGAAGAGGCUACUUGGAUCAAGAUACCAGAUGAUUUGCUCAUAAAAAGUAGUGGAGAUGGUAUUAAAGAUAUUGUUUCUACAGUAUAUGAUGACCUUCAAGGAAAUUACAAAAAUAUCACGUACUUAAGAGAUAGAGCUAUUAUCACACCAAUGAAUGAAACAGUUGAUGAAAUAAAUAAUUAUGUCUUAUCUUUAUUGCCGAAUGAAGAGAAAGUAUACAUGAGUUCCGAUUCAAUUUGUAGCUCCUCAAAAAAUGCUGAUGACAAUGAUGUUCUCUAUCCAGUUGAAUUCUUAAAUUCUAUAAAGGUUAAUGGUGUGCCUCACCAUGAACUAAAAUUGAAAAUAGGAAGUCCGAUAAUGUUGCUACGUAAUAUUAGCCAAGGUUCUGGACUGUGUAAUGGAACUCGCUUAAUUGUUACUCAAUUGGCUUCGAAAGUUAUUAAGGCACAGAUAUUCACUGGAAAUCAUGCAGGUGAAAAAGUGUCACGCCCCGGGGCCGAUUUUCAAAGCCAUUUUGAAAAUUCAUUACCAUUUUGAAAACUCAGAGUCGCGGAAGAUGUACUUUUUUUUUUCUUUUUUUUUUCAACCUGGCCCACGUGACGUACAGACCCGCCACAAAUACAAAGUUCCUCUGUCCACUCGGACAGAGUCUCCUUUGUAUUUGCACGGCGUACCAACGAUACAACAGGAUCACAACCACAACCUACAAUUACCAAUCAACAACCAAAAUGAUAUGCAUUCUCAUACAGCUAACAAUCCUUAGAGAUGAUGCAUGCCUCUAAGCACUCCUUAGGCGUUGGAUGAUGCAAUGCACAGUACAACAAUCAUCCUAUUUAAAAGUGCUCCCCACACGGAAGCUUUUGUUUUUAAACUCUAAUUCAUUCAUUCAUGAAAACCAUUCGAAAACCUUUUUAAAACUGUUUCCCACACGGAAACUCUAUUUUGAAAACCAGCUACCUCGAGGGGUAGAAAUCCACAAAGCGUAUAAAUCCAAUCUGAAACUAAGGAUCCAAAACCACGUAUCUGAAAACUCCAAUCUCAUGCAUACGAGGAAAACCAACUCAUUCAAACAAUCAUAAGAUCAUCUAAUCAUGCAUAACGGAAAUCACAACAUUCAAACAUCUAACUGAACCAUUUAUUUAAAUGACUACUAAAGGCAGGAAAGAAAUACAACCAGGGUGGCGAUCGCUAUACCAGACUAGCUAGAUCGUCCUCUNACGAAAAUUACUGAAACAACGGAUGAUGUUGAAUCAAUUCCAUCUCAUUGCUUUCAUUUUUCGAGUUUUGAUUAUAUUAAAGGUAAAAGAAACAAUGACUCCUGCCUUUUAGGUAACACCAUUUUCUUCUUCCUUUUAAUUCUUUCAUUUUAUUAAAGCAACACAAUAUACUUAUUCUGCAAUAACAUUCUGUUAACCCUCAUGUUGAUUAGAUGUGCUGGGAAGUAUUGCUACUAUUUGUCCUAUUUCUUAUACAUAUGUUGGUCAUGAGCUUACUCCAAUAAGAAAUAUGGAGAUAAAAGAUUUAGAGUAAGUUGAAUACUAUUUUAGCAUCUAAUUGUGUAACUUUAAUUCUUACCAUAUGUGAAACAAUUUAACUUAAAUAGUGAAAACAUUGUAGGGAUAAUACUUUUCCAGUGACUUUAUGGGACAAAUUUGCUAUGGAAUUUGAUGAAAAUAUAAUUUACGAAAAAGAAGCUGCUGGACCGGUUGUAGCUGCUGGACCGGUUGUAAUUAUCUUCGCAAGUAUGAGCGUGCGAAUGUAUAAAGGUUUGUCCAAUGUUUGCUUAUCUUAUAAUUGUUUGCAUUUAUUUCCAUCGCUAUUUAUGGUUCUUACACUUAUAUUUUACAUCUAUAUCCAGAGAAGCUAUAUCUGUCGACAUGUUCAGCAUCAAGGUUUUACAUUAAUUUGGACAUACCAGAAGUUACAACAUUUCGAAAUGCAUUGGAUAGGUAAGUAUCAUUAUCUGUAUAGUUUAUUCGAGUAUUUUUCAUAACUUACUUUUAUAGAUACUUUAAUGCAGAAGCCAACUACCUAUUGCACCAAUUAAACAUAUUGAAGCGGCACAACAACUAACUAUUAGCCCAUAUGAACAAAUGCUUAAGAAUCGUAAAACUGUUGCUGAAUUACUUGCAUUAAAUCCAAUGGAAGCUGAGGUAAAUAUAUUUAGAAUAUCUUUAAAUUGCCAAUUUUAUUCUUUCUCUUAUAUUCUCUACAAAUUGCUAUAUAUAUUAUUAAUUCAACAUAUAAUUGAAUAGAUGUAAUCUGUCAAGCUAAAUUAGUAGAAAUUGAUACGAUAUAUGGGUGGUGGUACAAGGCCUGCUAUGAUUGUAAAGGAGGAGUAAAAGAUUAUGAUGAUACUUUUUGGUGUAAUCAAUGUGGAAAAAAUGAUCAGUCACCUGUACCAUGGUACAUUUCUAAACCCAAAUACUACAAUUUCAAACAUGAAAUAUUCCUUUUUAAUUCGAAAAUUAUAUUAUCAUGUACUAAAUUAAUAUAGAGAUCAUUUUGAAAAAAAGGUACAAGUUAAAUGCCAUUGUUGCGGAUGAGACCAGUUCAGCGAACUUCACUAUUUUUGGCAAAACGGCGCAAGAUUUGAUACGAGUCCCUGCUCAACAACUUGCUACUGCAAUCAAUUCAAAUAGAUUUAUACUACCUCCUAUUAUUAAAAAUAUUGUUGGUCAAACUUUUAUUUUUCAAAUUUCGCUUGAGUCACGCAAAUUUAAUACAACUAUGCAAUCAUUCAAAGUCACAAAAAUUUUUCAAUCUGCUUUGACUGCAAAAAUCAAAAUAGAAGAAAAGGAAGAAGAUAUCAUAGACAUUACAGAAGAUGGUGCAGGGACAAGUCCUAAAGAAUUGCAAAUAGCGUAAGAAAAUAUCUCUAAUAUCUUUUUUCCUUUACGUACUUUCUUAAGUGUUUUACUCAAAAAAUUGAUUUAUUUCAAUUCUUUUGCAUGUAAUUUUUUUUUUCUUAUUGUGAUGUGAAGUUCAAAAUCCUAUCUGGAGGAAGCUGUGAAGGAAUCAAGAGGCAAAAGGAGAGUACUUAGGUAAUUCAUUGAUGACUAUAUAUUAAAUUAUAAAAAGUACAUAUAUUUGAGCAUUAUACCAAAAAUAAUAUUUAUUGACUUUCUUUUCUACGUGCAUUUCUGUAAAUUAUCCUUAUAAAAAGUUCUCAGCUGAAGUCAGAGGAAGCUAUUAAUCAAUCAAAGGGAAAAAGAAAAUUACGCAGGUAACAAUUAUAUUAAUAUUGUUUUGGAAAAGUGGUCAAUGCUUAUUUUAUUUUUCAAUUGAAAUGAACAUAAAAUAACUGGCAUUUGUUUUCUGUUUUGUAGUUACAUUGAGAGUUCUGAAUCUGAUGGAGAAGAAAAAUGAAGUCACAACAACUAUUUUCUAAGUGAUGUUGAAUUUGUAGGUGCAACUUAUUUUCUACUCAAAUGCUAAACAUUUUGCAUAUACGGAUCCAAUCGUCUUUUUCCUCCUCUUUUCUAAGUCCCCUCAAAAUUAAUGCCAAGAUCCAACACUUCUUGUGACCACUUCCUUUCUAUUGUUGUUUGCUGUAAUUUGUGCAAGAAAAUUUGUACUUUUGCUUUCUGGGUUUGCAGUCUAUUUUGAGUUAAUUGAAAGUUAAUGUUGUCUAUUUCAAAAAUCUAUUUGGCAAAGUAAUUGGUGUUUCUAUUUUUAUUUAUUGUUCUGUUUUCUUUCUCUAUCUGUCUUUAUGCUAGAAUAAAUAGAUAUUUUGAAGAUCAUUAGAAAAUGCUUUGAUUAUUUUAUAGGUUGUGUCAUGCUAUGAAGAUACUUCUUUUCUGAGAGGAAUUGGGGGAAGCGUCAAUCUUGAUGGUUGGCUCUUGGAAUAUUCUUCCAGAUUAUUAUUUUCUCUUGAUGGUCUACUUCUUAUGUUAUUGCCCUAUUCUUUUUGUAGCAUCAAAAUAUUUCCUUCGUUUUUUCUAAUUUCCCAUUCGAUUGGUAGUUUUUCCUUCUAUUUCAUUUAUUUAAGGAAUGGAAUGGUAGGCUGUGAAGUAUGCACAAUAAAAUAUUAAUUUGAAUUGCUUUCUUCUUCUUUUUUUCUUUUUUUUUUUUAAUGUUUGAUUUGAGAGAUUGACGAUAUGGAACGUUCCAUGGACAAUCCGAGUCGAUCCGGUAAACUGCUAGGAAGGUUUAUCCUAUCUUUAUAUAAUAGUAAAUAUAGUAAUUGGCUGGGCUACUUUCCCCAGGAAGGGAAGCAGAAUGGGAUUCAUGCAUCGAAGCAUUAUUGGGGAUUUUCGAACUAAUGCUGCAUCUGAUCUGCUAAUAGAAUCUGAUAUUAUAUCUGUUCCUCGAACAGGUGAAUCAUAAAUUUUAUUAUUUAUAAAUUUUUUACUUUAGCAGUAACUACCCGCCGCAUCGCGCGGGUACCUACACUAGUGAGAUCUAGUUCAGAUUGCCUCGGCUAGCAGCUAAACUUUCAGGGUUGUAGCUUUUGUUUCACCUUCGUGCCUCGCGAGGCACGAAGGCUUUCGUGGGGUCUGCGUGAGUAUAUAUAUAUAUAUAUAUAUAUAUAUAUAGAGAGAGAGAGAGAGAGAGAGAGAGAGAGAGUACAAGUGUGUGGGGGGCGUUAUCUAGUGGUCACCUUUUUCCAUCUCAUCUUUUUUAUUCUUUUUGCAUUAAAAUGUGAGGGGAGGGGGUUAGUUUGCUUGCAAACAAAACAAACUCGUGAGCCGAAAAAGAACCUGAUCCACGCCCCUUUCCUUCGAGGUGGAGAAAUCAACUACCACUUCCCAGACGGAGAGAGAGAGAGAGGUUUCCAUACUCUUCGUCUUUUUCUUUUUUUUUUUCUUAUCUUACACUUUACAACAAAAUACAAUAACCAAGUUUAACACUCUUGUUAAUACCGACCGUCCCUAGUACAAAUGGUAAAAGACUUAUGGUUAAUAUUCGAGAUCUCAAGUUCGAAUUUUAUCCAUCGGCUCGGUGAUUGGUAUUUGAGAUUCGAAGUUUGANUAGGGCUAGAAUACUUUUACAAGUAUCACCCAAGUGAUACUUGUGUGUUUUUAGCCCUUGGAUGGAGAGAUGUGAGGUUGAGAUGAUGGUGGUAGGUGGUGGUAGGUGGAAUAGUAUUUGAUCCAAGGGCUAUGUGUAAUCAAAAAGUAAAUCCAAUGGCUAAAAACGUGAUAGCAACAUGGGGAUGAUACUUGUAAAAGUAUCCUAGAUCAACUCUAUAAAUAUAUAUAUAUAUAUAUAUAUAUAUAUAUAUAUAUAUAUAUAUAUGAGUCCGGCUAGGGUACUAUCGAUAGCACUAAGGAUUUGGUGCUAUCGAGUUUUUCACUGUUAAAUUUAACCCUUUGAGUAUUUUUACCCGUUAGAGUAUACUAUUUAACCAACCACUUACUCAACCCUAGAGGGCCCACAUCAUCAUAACCGCACAUUUCUCAAUCCAGGGGCUAAAAAAUUAAUAGCACCAAUAACUUGGUACUAUUGAUAGUAUUCCAACCUAGUUCUCACUCUCUAUAUAUAUAAUGCAUCAAAAUUAAAAAUAUAAAAUUGAAUUUGCGCUUUUGAGGCGAGUAAAGCCAAAGAGGUUUACGAGUGCUUUUUGGAAAAGCUCCUUUAAUUAAGCAAAAUAAGCCGUGAUCAAGCAGUGAGCUCUCCCUUAAUUAAAUGUGUUUGCAGUGGAAGAGGCCAUGAAUAGUCGAUAUCCCUGUAACCCUAUUGCAAGACCCAAACAAUGAGCCUCCACAGUGACCUCAACAAGAAAACAAAAACCCCUAAUAAAUGCUCGUGAUGCUUUUGAGCUUUCCAACGAAUCAUCAUCUGUUGAAACAUCACAUUCCAUCUCUCCAUCAGUCAAACAGGGACUUAAAUACUCGCCCAUCAAAUAAUAUAAAUAAAUAAUAAAUAAAUAUAUAUAUAUAAAGGACUUAGGUUUUUUCACUUCUUAACUUUUGGAUCAAGGACAGUAUAAUUAGAAUGAUAGUAGACCCCUAUAUAAGGUUGAGUUAAUAAUUUGAAACAACCAACUCUUUUAUAUUUUCGAAAAAAUCAUAGUAGAAUAUAUAUAUAUAUAUAUAUAUAUAUAUGUAUAUAGGCCAAUUUGCAUAAAAAAUCCACUUAUUUUGGGAUUUUGCAAAACCGGGCCACCUUUUUCCUUUUUGCAGAUUCGGUCCGCUUUUUCCGCCGCCUGACCAAAAUGCCCCUCCUAUACAAUAGCCUCCCGCGUAUUUCUUGACAUACGUAUACUACCCUGCCGUACGUUCUGGCGCGCAUUAAAUGACCCGUUCAAUCUCAGUCAUUUCUCGGAACCCGGACAACAUCCGCCCCCGCUAUUCGCCGGCCCCGCUGUUUCCUGUUUGGCUUUAAUUCUUUAAUACAAUAAUUCACGAUAAAUGAGAAAAUAUGCACGGCCCGAGUAGGGAUAAUAGUGCAACGCAAAGUGAAACGUCCGAAAAAAUGGUACAACUGCCAUUAUAACAGUGCAUCGCUAGGUCGCACCAGUGCAACCUCUCCAAAAUCAGUCAAAAUUUUACUUUCUCUAUUCCUUAAUAUAAUCUCAAC